CAGCAGCCACGGUAAGACGAACCGUGCGAACGUUAUUCGGAAUCACUGGGCUUAAAGCGCGUGUAGGCGGCCCGGCACGUCCCUCGCUGAAAGCCCCCGGCUCAACCGGGGAAGGGGCGGGGAUACGACCGGGCUGGAGGGGGGUAGGGGGAGCCGGAACUCACGGUGGAGCGGUGAAAUGCGUUGAGAUCGUGAGGAACGCCCGUGGCGAAAGCGGGCUCCUGGGCCCCACCUGACGCUGAGACGCGAAAGCCAGGGGAGCGAACGGGAUUAGAUACCCGAGUAGUCCCUGUCUCUUAUA
Molecule: ribosomal RNA, 301 nt
Filed under: uncultured bacterium
Lineage: Bacteria
Description: partial 16S ribosomal RNA
Rfam family: Bacterial small subunit ribosomal RNA
Source: RNAcentral